AGUGAACGCUGGCGGUAGGCCUAACACACGCAAGUCGAACGGCAGCACAGUAAGAGCUUGCUCUUACGGGUGGCGAGUGGCGGACGGGUGAGGAAUACAUCGGAAUCUACUUUUUCGUGGGGGAUAACGUAGGGAAACUUACGCUAAUACCGCAUACGACCUACGGGUGAAAGCAGGGGAUCUUCGGACCUUGCGCGAUUGAAUGAGCCGAUGUCGGAUUAGCUAGUUGGCGGGGUAAAGGCCCACCAAGGCGACGAUCCGUAGCUGGUCUGGGAGGAUGAUCAGCCACACUGGAACUGAGACACGGUCCAGACUCCUACGGGAGGCAGCAGUGGGGAAUAUUGGACAAUGGGCGCAAGCCUGAUCCAGCCAUACCGCGUGGGUGAAGAAGGCCUUCGGGUUGUAAAGCCCUUUUGUUGGGAAAGAAAAGCAGCAGGUUAAUACCCCGCUGUUCUGACGGUACCCAAAGAAUAAGCACCGGCUAACUUCGUG
Molecule: ribosomal RNA, 492 nt
Filed under: uncultured bacterium
Lineage: Bacteria
Description: partial 16S ribosomal RNA
Rfam family: Bacterial small subunit ribosomal RNA
Source: RNAcentral